RNAcentral lists this long non-coding RNA (274 nucleotides) under Nicotiana benthamiana. RNAcentral's name for it is "long non-coding RNA (NBEN_LNC026122)". Lineage: Eukaryota; Viridiplantae; Streptophyta; Magnoliopsida; Solanales; Solanaceae. The record is from RNAcentral.
AUGUGUUGUAUGAGGUUUAAAGUCGUAAUUCUUGGUCUAGUCUAGCCACUGUACUUGUUCGAUUCCAUUACAUUGCUAGAUUUCUUUGUCUGAACAUUCAAGGUUGAAGUCAUUGAAAACUUUCAGUUUAGGUUCGUUUCCGAUUCUUUUAUUUUCAUUUUAGUGUCAAUUAAAAGUAUGAUAAGAGCCUAGUUAGUUUGCAAUUUGUUUAAGAGUUCGUUUAGCCGCGACUGGUUCGGAGUUUAUAUUCUAUCCUACUUUGAUAUAUAUCAUG